RNAcentral lists this long non-coding RNA (730 nucleotides) under Coffea arabica (coffee). RNAcentral describes it as "long non-coding RNA (CARA_LNC004902)". The record is from RNAcentral. Lineage: Eukaryota; Viridiplantae; Streptophyta; Magnoliopsida; Gentianales; Rubiaceae.
UGAGUACGGAAACCCAGUUCGUCAGACAGACGAAUAUGGUAACCCAGCCCGCCAUGGAGGUACCAUGGGUGAUUAUGGAACCACUGGCACUACUGGAGCCUAUGGUGGCACAGCUGGAGCACAUGGGACUUAUGCAACUGGAACCACCGGCACUACCGGUACCGGUGCGUAUGCCACCCAGCCUGGCACUGAUGUGGGGAAGGAGCACCAUGGCCUUGGUGGCAUGCUUCAUCGCUCUGGUAGCGGUAGCUCUAGCUCGGUAUGCCCUCCUAAUUAAUCUCGUCUUGCUUAAAUUGUACUGAGUUGUAGUAGCAUUUAACAAAUCUUGACCAGCUUGUGAUGACUGGUAAUUAAAAAGUUCUUAUCUGUUUUCUUUUUGUUUUUUCGGUUGGGAUGCAGUCCGAGGAUGAUGGGCAAGGCGGGAGGAGGAAGAAGGGGAUGAAGGAGAAGAUAAAGGAGAAACUGCCUGGCGGUCACAAGGAGGCUCGACCUGGACAAGAAUAUUCGAGUGCUACUACAGCUCCUGGAUACGGCGGGGAAGGAGAGCAGCACGAGAAGAAAGGAAUUAUGGAUAAAAUCAAGGAGAAAUUACCAGGGGGUCACAACAACUGAAGAUCUAAUUCUAAUAAUAUGGGAUCCAAUUAUGAUAUUGUGUACCCCUAUUUUCAAUCUCAAUCUCAAUCUCGUUCGUGUCAUGUUUGUGUUUUCUGAGAUUUGAGUGUGUGGACGU